RNAcentral lists this unclassified non-coding RNA (332 nucleotides) under soil metagenome. RNAcentral's name for it is "partial contains 5.8S ribosomal RNA, internal transcribed spacer 2, and large subunit ribosomal RNA". The stretch from base 1 to 120 matches the Rfam family "5.8S ribosomal RNA", at positions 35 to 154 of the family's 154-position model. The record is from RNAcentral.
GAUGAAGAACGUAGCGAAAUGCGAUAAGUAAUGUGAAUGGCAGAAUUCAGUGAAUCAUCGAAUCUUUGAACGCACAUUGCGCCCGCUAGUAUUCUGGCGGGCAUGCCUGUUCGAGCGUCAUUUCAACCAUCAAGCCCUGUUUAGGCUUGUGUUGGGGCCCUGCGGUUGCCGCAGCCCCCUAAAUGCAGUGGCGGGCUCGUUGUCACUCCGAGCGCAGUAGCGUAUCUCGCUCUGGGCGUGGCGGCGGGUGCUAGCCGUGAAGCACCCACUAAGGUUGACCUCGGAUCAGGUAGGAAUACCCGCUGAACUUAAGCAUAUCAAUAAGCGGAGGA